Molecule: long non-coding RNA, 929 nt
Organism: Setaria italica (foxtail millet)
Lineage: Eukaryota; Viridiplantae; Streptophyta; Magnoliopsida; Poales; Poaceae
Exons: 2
Source: RefSeq, a predicted model, not a curated record
CCCCCCCCCCCCCCCACCCCCCCACCCCGGCUCGGGUGCUGCUGAUUAUAUUUGCUUGCUAAUUUGGAGGAACAAAAAGAAAGAAACUGGUUGGCAGGUUGCUAGCUAUUGAGGAUUGCUUGCUCGGUGGAGGCAGAGGGAGAAUAAAGGUGUGAAGGAAGAAUGAUGCUACUAUGUGUUUAUUUGAGAGGAGCUGGCUUGCUAGAGAAUAAGAGGCCGGGAAUAUUGGUAGCGCAUUCUUCAGAACAUAUCACAAAGUGCUAGCAUAUUGAAGAUUUGGAGGGCAUGGAGGACUGUGACCUGCUCUGCGAUGUGGUAUUGCAGAUAAGUUUGGACUUUUGGAGAUUUUCUUAAACUACAUGUUGGGUAAGCAACCUAAAAUGGACAAGCUACAAGACUACCAUUAUCAUGCAUAGGCAAACCACUCUUAUGCAAUACUUAUUUUAUAUCAACUGAUCCUACUUACAUUGCCGAAGCCUGUUGUAUUAGUUGUCAUUGCAGAGCAUCACUGAACCUGAUGUGUUGGAGUUCAAAAGUGCUGGAUGGCAGUAUGUAUGUUUUUAGAAGUGCUGGACCAAACUUCUGUUGCCUCUUUAUGACUGGUUGGCUGGUGACGUUAAUCUCCAUGUAGGGGUGAGGUGGUGAUGAUGUGAGGACACAGUUCUGGAAAUUGAUUACAAAUGCAAAGGAGUGGUCUAUCUCAACUCCAAAGUUCCUAUUUUUAAGCAACCACAAAAUUGUUUAGAAAAAGGAGUGGGGUCUCAGAAGAGCGGGGCUGCAGAAGAGCGGCGCUGCAGAGUUAGAGAGAGGAGUGGUGUAGGUAGCAGAACGGUGCAGUGCUGCAGUGCUGCUUGGAUAAGAGCAACUCCAAUGGACUAUCCAUUUUUUGACUCUCCAUUUAACUCUCUUGGCAAAAAAAUUCCUCUCUA